This 188-nucleotide long non-coding RNA is filed under the name Cavia porcellus (domestic guinea pig). RNAcentral describes it as "lncRNA (ENSCPOG00000031576.1)". Lineage: Eukaryota; Metazoa; Chordata; Mammalia; Rodentia; Caviidae. The record is from RNAcentral.
CGGGACUGAACACAGAGAGCAAGAUGGAAGCUAAUGAAUCUGAAGCUGCAGCGGCCCACGGGGGCCAGGCCUGGAAGGGCCCUGGGAGACCAGCGUGAAGAUGAGGAGUUUCUCUAACUGGAAGACUCAAAACCAUCUGUGAAAUAAAACUAAGAUGGCCAGUGGGAAAGCAAUAAUUACGAAAGCAG